CUGAGUGCAAAUGUUUGUUUUAGGUAGCAAGGCAGGCAAGCAUGGGGACAGUUUGGCUGAAUAAUUAACUUUUAUCUGAUUGUCCUUUGGAUCCUUCCUUGUUUUCCUCAUAAGGCCCAUCUCUGCUCCAGUUGGCAAAACAUCAUCAAGAUGUUCUGGCUCCUGGGAGUUAGCAUAUCCCCCCUCACCCCCACUUGAGCAGACAUCGACCUGUUGGGUGUCACAAGGAAUUCCACAAGGAAUGCCUGCCAGAUAGAUGGAAGAAUAGAAACCUAUGAGAUUACCAAGGAGAUUAAGAAGUAUCCUUGAAAUCAGACUAUAGAUUUAAACUGUUCGGUGUAUAAAAUAGGGCAAACUACUUAACUCUUCUGGGCUAUAUAUGUUCAUCUGGAAAGAAGGAUAUUAAAAAUAUCUACUCGGGUUGCCAUAUAAUCUCUUUCUCCCAGAGGACUCUGGAACAGAUUGCAAAGGCUUCACUUACUAUGCAGCUGAGAUAUCCCAUGUGGGG
This is a long non-coding RNA of Heterocephalus glaber (naked mole-rat), 508 nucleotides long. The record is from Ensembl. NCBI's taxonomy places the organism in Eukaryota, Metazoa, Chordata, Mammalia, Rodentia, Bathyergidae.